GGCAGUAUAGCUCAGCUGGUAGAGCGAAGGUGUACAUACGUGGUGAACACGUAUGCAGGUCUUUUGUCACAAGUUCGACUCUUGUUGCUGCCGCAA
This 96-nucleotide transfer RNA is filed under the name Bacteroides uniformis. RNAcentral describes it as "tRNA-Ser". It matches the Rfam family "tRNA". From Rfam's summary of the family: Transfer RNA (tRNA) molecules are approximately 80 nucleotides in length. Their secondary structure includes four short double-helical elements and three loops (D, anti-codon, and T loops). Lineage: Bacteria; Pseudomonadati; Bacteroidota; Bacteroidia; Bacteroidales; Bacteroidaceae. RNAcentral also lists the same sequence under 2 other names. The record is from RNAcentral.